This 301-nucleotide ribosomal RNA is filed under the name uncultured bacterium. Its description in RNAcentral is "partial 16S ribosomal RNA". It matches the Rfam family "Bacterial small subunit ribosomal RNA", at positions 509 to 807 of the family's 1533-position model. The record is from RNAcentral.
CAGUAGCCACGGUAAUACGGAGGGUGCAAGCGUUGAUCGGAAUUACUGGGCGUAAAGCGCACGCAGGCGGUUUGUUAAGUCAGAUGUGAAAUCCCCAGGCUCAACCUGGGAACUGCAUCUGAUACUGGCGAGCUUGAGUCUCGUAGAGGGGGGUAGAAUUCCAGGUGUAGCGGUGAAAUGCGUAGAGAUCUGGAAGAAUACCGGUGGCGAAGGCGGCCCCCCGGACGAAGACUGACGCUCAGGUGCGAGAGCGUGGGGAGCAAACAGGAUUAGAUACCCGUGUAGUCCCUGUCUCUUAUAC